GACGAACGCUGGCGGCGUGCUUAACACAUGCAAGUCGAACGGAAAGGCCCUGCUUGCAGGGUACUCGAGUGGCGAACGGGUGGGUAACACGUGGGUGAUCUGCCCUGCACUUCGGGAUAAGCCUGGGAAACUGGGUCUAAUACCGGAUAGGAGCCAUUUUUAGUGUGAUGGUUGGAAAGUUUUUUCGGUGUAGGAUGAGCUCGCGGCCUAUCAGCUUGUUGGUGGGGUAAUGGCCUACCAAGGCGGCGACGGGUAGCCGGCCUGAGAGGGUGGACGGCCACAUUGGGACUGAGAUACGGCCCAGACUCCUACGGGAGGCAGCAGUGGGGAAUAUUGCACAAUGGGCGCAAGCCUGAUGCAGCGACGCCGCGUGGGGGAUGACGGCCUUCGGGUUGUAAACUCCUUUCGCUAGGGACGAAGCUUUUUGUGACGGUACCUAGAUAAGAAGCACCGGCUAACUACGUG
This 465-nucleotide ribosomal RNA is filed under the name uncultured bacterium. Its description in RNAcentral is "partial 16S ribosomal RNA". It matches the Rfam family "Bacterial small subunit ribosomal RNA", at positions 28 to 507 of the family's 1533-position model. The record is from RNAcentral.